UACGUAGGUGGCAAGCGUUGUCCGGAUUUAUUGGGUUUAAAGGGUGCGUAGGCGGCCCUGUAAGUCAGUGCUGAAAUCCUCCGGCUUAACCGGAGAUGUGGCAUUGAUACUGCAGGGCUUGAGUACAGAUGAGGUAGGCGGAAUUGACGGUGUAGCGGUGAAAUGCAUAGAUAUCGUCAAGAACACCGAUAGCGAAGGCAGCUUACUGGGCUGUAACUGACGCUGAUGCACGAAAGUGUGGGGAUCAAACAGG
This 253-nucleotide ribosomal RNA is filed under the name uncultured bacterium. RNAcentral's name for it is "partial 16S ribosomal RNA". It matches the Rfam family "Bacterial small subunit ribosomal RNA", at positions 524 to 776 of the family's 1533-position model. The record is from RNAcentral.